CCUACGGGAGGCAGCAGUGAGGAAUAUUGCUCAAUGAACGAAAGUCUGAACCAGCCAUGUAGCGUGAAUGAUGACUGCCCUAUGGGUUGUAAACUUCUUUUAUAUGGGAAUAAAAUGUUCCACGUGUGGGAUUUUGUAUGUACCAUAUGAGUAAGGAUCGGCUAACUCCGUGCCAGCAGCCGAGGUAAUACGGAGGAUCCGAGCGUUAUCCGGAUUUAUUGGGUUUAAAGGGAGCGUAGGUGGAUUGUUAAGUCAGUUGUGAAAGUUUGCGGCUCAACCGUAAAACUGCAGUUGAUACUGGCAGUCUUGAGUACAGUAGAGGUGGGCAGAAUUCGUGGUGUAGCGGUGAAAUGCUUAGAGAUCAGGAAGAACACCGAUUGCGAAGGCAGUUCACUGGAC
RNAcentral lists this ribosomal RNA (399 nucleotides) under uncultured bacterium. Its description in RNAcentral is "partial 16S ribosomal RNA". It matches the Rfam family "Bacterial small subunit ribosomal RNA", at positions 338 to 734 of the family's 1533-position model. The record is from RNAcentral.